ACACUGGUAGUCAGUGUUCCCCAGCUUUAUCAGAUUAAUCUGAAUGCUCCUCUGUGGCUGGCAGCUAGAUGGGUGUUGUAUGUGUUAUCAACCAUGUGUUAGUCUUGAUAGACUUUGCUUUAAAGUGGAUCAAAGCAUCUUUUUGUCCUCCUUUUAUAGUCUCUGCAGCAGAAUGUAAUUCGGAGCAUGCUUGGCAUCUUUUCUAUUACUGUGACACUGUACUAGUUGGCAGAUCUUGAAGAUCUAUUUAACAUAUUUGCAUGGUAAGUCUUUUUCUUGAAUAACAUGGGUGGAUAGAUGAAACUCUCCUGGCUCUAAAUCAUAUAAAUGGGAAUCAAACCAAACAAAUUGUCAUAACUUCAGUGAUUCCCUACUAGUUCGCUUUUUAGAUCCAGGGAACUAGACCUGAUUUAAGUUGAGCCCAAAUAGCCUACACAGGCCACAAAGGUUUGGCCCUUCAAAGGAUCUUACCCAUGAAUUGGGACACGACCAAAUAGCUAACAGAGGCCAUUGUUAGUCGUGUCAUGACCUGCUUUAUUAGAAAUAUGUUUCUUUCGGCUUGAAGAGUGGUCCUAUCCCUGUGUAAUUAACUAUAUAUUGUCUUUUCAAAAGCAGAAGAAGCUAAAUUAGAGUAAUUGAUCAGGGACUCUAAAUUGUGAUACGUUUACAGCUGGAGAACAGCAAUACAACAUAAUAACAGGAUUUAAGCUUCCAACCCCGAGUAUGACGUUACGGGAAAAUGGCCCCAUGUGAUUAUGGUAAAUUAAGCGUAAGUGCUGAGAGUGAAUCUGGCAGAGAGAUUUCAACAAUGUCGCCUUGGCAACAUGGGAAUGUUCCUUCAUGAGCCUUUUCUUUCCACUCUGGAACAAAGAGAUGCUUAUAAUUGUGAGUUUACUCCUAUAUUUUCAUUUCAUGUCCUUUGUGUCACAAAAACACACAGGUGUACUCUGUCUGUACACACACAACCACACAACCUCGUCUGUCUCUAGCUCCCAGCAUACUUCUCACUCCUGAAUGAGAUCAAAGUCCUGUCUCAUCUUUGUGAAUGCAACAUUACCCGCCUUUAUUUUUGCGUAUGUGUCCUGGAGCUUUUAAUCACAAAGUUGGAGAAAGGCGUAUAAAAAGAAUUUCACUGCUUCAGCUGGGAGCAUAGAGGUCACAGCUCCUCAUCUCCCCUGUAAAAAGCCUUGUCUUUGAAGUCUGGUAUCAGUGGCAUGAAGGAAACAAUGGAGUGGCUGUGUGAAAGUAGUGAAGAUAUUCAUUGAUCCUCGCUGAAUUCCCUUUUGACAGGGGUACAGCUGGCCUGGGGUCUUGAAUCUUUUAAAAAGCAGAGCUAAGAUGAAUGCUUUGAUGACAUGUGCUGGUUUUUGAUGUUUUUUUUUAACUCUGAACUCCUGGAAGGGAAGAGAAAAAAGAAUUCUAACAUUUUUAAGUCUGCAAUUUCCAACCUUUGGGGGUUGUAAGAUUGAUACACUGAGACACGAGGUUAUUACCAAAAAGAAGUCUUCACAAAGUUGUGUUGUAAUUUAUUUUUUGCUUUUAAUCUCAUUCUAAUACACUGUACAUUGUUACUGUAUGGCUUUUAAAAUACAACUGCUAGAGCUGUGUUACAGUCGCCCAGAAGGUCAACGAGACAAAUAUUUUAGGGAGGUGAGAUAUAUGUAUAUAUAUAUAUAAAUAUACUUUUUUUUUUCUUUAAAAUUCUAUAUAUAAAUUCUUUUAAUUUACAAAAUUUGUUUAAGACUUCAAAAUAUUAAUUCUUUGUGUUUCUGUGAAAAUUGAAUGUUUUCUUAAAUGUUUGUGUGUUUUAUGCAAUUAUUUUUAGUCACCUUUUUGAAAUAUGCGUGCUGUUGACCUUCAGGGUCACCAUACCAUGCUUUAAGCAAAAUGUUUACAUGUACAUGUCGAUUGGAAACAAAGAUUAAAAAAGGUUCACCCUAUUUUUUUCAAGAUGUGAAGUAUUUGAAGAGUUUGGUCAAUUUACUGAAAUUAUUACCUAAGAUUAUUUUUUUUAAAAAAGGAAAAUGGAAUAACUUAUGGAACCAUCAAAGCUCCAAAGGUUUAUUCUGAUGAACAAGUUAGUCUCUGUGCCAAAUUUUAUGGCAAUCUAUCCAGUAAUCAGAGAGUUUUACCAAGACCACAAAAAGUAACCUUAUGGUGGUGCUUAGAGAAAUUACAAGUAUAGGGGUUGUCCUCCACAUACCAUGAAUAUGUGCACAAAAUUAUCUUAAACAUUUGAGAUACUUGACAUUAUGCAAAAGUGGUGAACCAGGGCAUUUGUUGGUCUUGCAGAUUAGGGAUGUGCCCCAUAUACUGUAGCUUCAGUCCUAAUCACAGUCAUCGAUUUGACUCCACCCUGUACUGUAUGUCAACCCCCACUCUCUACUCCCCACUUUUCCCCUCUUCAGCUGCACUAAAAAGUCUAAAAUGCCCAUAAAACAGUUAAGAAAAAAAGGAUUGGACCGCUACUGGACCACACCAAUGCCUAAAUCUUCCAACUCAUAGUGUUUGUAUGGCAAAAUAAACAAUGAGUCAGACAGUGUGGGUAGAAAACAAAACAUCAGGCUGGGCAGCUCACAAGACAUAAACUCUGACUGUGCAUUUGGUCAGAGCUGACCAAGCUUGAAAAACCCUAAUGGUCUCUGAAGCUGACUUGUACAUGCACAGAACAACGAUUUAUGCACACAUCAACUCCUGUCUCAGUCAAUACUAUUGAGGUCAUGGUACUCUAUAUUUCACUCUGAUGAAGCUGUUAAUCCAACCUGCUUCUCUUCUGUGAAUCCAUAUGAGACCCAACCCUACUCAAGGAAAGUCUUUGCGAAGUCAAAAUACAGUAUGUACUCUGAAUAAACUGUUAUAAACUCUGCCCUAUUUGCUGCAGAUGUGUGUGAACCCUUCUGUCGGGGAGGUGGGAACAAUAAGCUAAUCAAAAGGAGCAACUGAUUGUAAGGCAUCUUAAAUGCUAAACUGUUAUGCAGUUGCUGCCCAACAACACAGGAUAAAGGUUGUUGAAAAUGCCUUUCACUAACCUUUGGAAGUAAUUAAUAAUUCUUAGUCCUUCAUUGUGUUUCUCAGACAUAUUCACAAAGACAGCUGGGGAGGGGUAUUCACCUUAAAGGUCAUGUUAUGAAACCCCAAGGACACUGCUUGAAACAUGACGGUCAAAACAUAGGCUGGGAGUUAUGUCAAUGAAAAAUACUUUCAAAGCUUUAAAUGUUAGAGGUAAACAAAAUGUAACUUUCCAACCACAUAUGCUGUAAUCACACAAUAGAACCAGAGUUCCUCUCAGUGUUUUGGUUGUGUUUUUACCAUGACCCGUCUACACCAGGGAAUCGUUGAGCCAAAUUUCAAUAUUGAACACUUGGCUGUUAACGGUUUUUCGUUUUUAUCAUUUUCCCCCUGUAGCUGAGUGUUUUUACAUCAGCAUGCACAUUACGUGACUUAGCGGUGAUCAUUUUGCACCCACAGAGAGAAAUUGGGUUAGUCGUUUCCAUGAAGUAAUUACACAGAAACCCUAAGGCGAACUCAAGUUAAUUCAUUUAGGCAAACUUCUAAGGAACACAAACUUUUGACUUUCCUCAAAGAACGAAAUCUUUUGUCACAGCCUCACUUUGAAUAUGAAACAACUGGGUUCAAAUUAGGAGGUACAAGUGUGUAGCAAUGCUAACUCUCACAGCCAUGUUUCAUUUAUGUCCUACCAAAAGGAUGAAUGUGUGUUUAUCCAUAAUGCUUAAUGAUUUUUAGGGUGAUAAUGUUUCAGUUUAAAUACAGUAUGAACUCAAGUAAUCAUAAUUUUAGCCUGUUGGUGUUUGCACUCCAACAUGUCAGCCUUUUCACAUUUUUUGUUUUUAACAGCUCUGACAAUCUACCCAUAUAUCUGUGGCUUGUCUUUGGGGUAAAGUAAGCCAAAAUUUGAAACAGUGGUCGCUUGGCAGUCACUCAAACCGUGUCCUUGUAUGACACAGGGCGAGGCACAUCAAACUGCCCCUUUGGCAGCUAUUACCAGAUAUAUGACACAUCAAGUCCCUUUCCCCCCAUUUUCCCCACAGACAGAAAACUCAGGCCCAUCAAUAAAUAAACGGGAAAGCAGGUGGUAUCUGGAGCACGGGUGUCCAUCUACUUUUCCAACAUCUCUCAACUGUUUUAGAUGGCGGACUAUUUUUGGAUGCUAAGUACUUACUAUUCCCUGUUUCAAACUGCCCACUUGUGCUAGAUAAGAGGAAUUCUCUGUGUUAGUGCGUCAUAGUGGUAAAAUAGCAGUGCCACUAGAAAUAAUAAAAGUUUAGAUCUGAACUGAAGGCUAGAAUUUUGUUGUAAAACUGUUGUUUUAAAUGUUUUGAAAACCAGCGGUAUAUAUUAUCAUGUUAGAGACUGUCAAGCAGUCCAUGAAAAAUCUUCUGUGUCUACUGUCUGAACUUCUGGAGCCUAAGGGCCCACCCGACCUUCUUAAUGAAAUUUGAAAACCAUAUAUAUUUCUAAAAUGUGGCUGUUAAUGGAAGAUGACAAGCAUCAUAGAGGUACAUUACUGCCAUCUACUGUGUCGGGGUGUGAAUAAACGGCCAUAUUGUAAGCACGUGCAAAAGAAACACACAGAUCAUGCUAAGAGCAGCAAAGACCUUUGACUGCAACUUUUUUCCAGGUAUGCAUCCACUGAAAAUGUCUCUCUGUGAUACAUUUUUGAGCCCAGACCCAUGGACUGAGAUUCACAGCUUUCUAUAACAUCAUUGACAUCAGCUCCUGAAUUAGGUUUUCUUUAGCAUAGCUCUUUAACACUAAAGGCUCAUAUUUCCAAAUUUUGGGAUGGUUAUCAGCAGUUUGGUUUGGAGUCUUUAACACUAAAGGCUCAUAUUUCCAAAUUUUGGGAUGGUUAUCAGCAGUUUGGUUUGGAGUUAAAACCGUCAGAGAUAUAAUAGGAAAAAAAAAAAUUCAAUUCAGUUCAGUUCAGUUAAAUUCAACUCAAGGAGGGUGGACAGAAAAGGAUCAGGGCUACUGGUUCAUUCUGUUCAAUUCCUUGAAAGAGAUCAAUCAUUCCUUCCACCAAAGAUGCCAAGCACAUAAACAAACUGUUACUCAUUCAUUAAUGUGUACAGUUGUGUAUGUUUCAGUGUAUAUUUACUCCAGUACAUCUGCUGGACUGCAGCUUGAGGUUUUCAGCCCUGUUAUUAUCAUGCCAAGGUCAGAGGAGUGGGCAGCACAGCAGAGGAAGACAGAAUGCCGGAGUGGUCCAACAAAUCAGAUUACUGCAUUUCCACUGACUGAUAACCACCACAGCAGAGAUGUAAAGACUUUUGUGCUCAAUAUAUCUUACACGUCUUGAUCUCUAAACAGGCUGAACAAUGAUUUUAGUUAUGAGGAAAAACUGUGCGUUGAUUCAAAGCUCCAAAAACACUUCAGUGGAGAAUAAUUCUUAACUAUUUCAGCACACGAAUGGGGGAAUA
Non-coding RNA from Xyrichtys novacula (pearly razorfish), 5438 nucleotides. NCBI's taxonomy places the organism in Eukaryota, Metazoa, Chordata, Actinopteri, Labriformes, Labridae. The record is from the annotation of a GenBank genome assembly.